AAAAAACAGUGCAUUACCAUUGCUGAGACAAAUCCAGAUCUUGUCUUACUCAGCCAACCAAAUUUUACCAUUUUCAGCAGAACUGUUCUUAGAUCUGUUUGACAUUUAUCUUCAUGCAUGACCUUCAGGAUGAUUUGAAACAUCUUCACAUAGCAGGUCGUCUCACAUAUAUUUUGAAAUGUUAAGGAGAAAUUAACUUCUAACUGUUGGAGUUUUUCCAGUGAUUUCUAAAUACACAUAGAGAAGCAGUCUGUGUCAUGAAGUGCUUCUAGUGAUUUUGAUGGUAGAAGAGCCAUGGUAGAGAAAUGUUGAACUUAGAAAAUCAGGUUGUUUAGCCUGCCUGUUGAUCUGGAGAAACAGUUCAUGCCUGCCUUGCAAAUGAAGAUUUGGGAGGAAAAAGUAUCCUUGAGACUGCUUUGCCUGGUGAGCCCUCAAUUACUGUCUAAUGGUGGCAGAGAGUCAUUUUUCUUAGUGCAAAUGAGUGCUACCUGCUUUUAAUCUUGGACAUUACAAUCCCUUUUUCAGAUUAAGUGAAAUGUUAGAGGGAGAGGAAAUCCCAUCAGGAGCAUCAAUACAGCAUUACUUUAAGUUGUAAUGAUGGCAGUUGCAGAGCUGAACAAAUG
This is a long non-coding RNA of Gallus gallus (chicken), 623 nucleotides long. The record is from Ensembl. Lineage: Eukaryota; Metazoa; Chordata; Aves; Galliformes; Phasianidae.